Molecule: ribosomal RNA, 329 nt
Filed under: uncultured eukaryote
Lineage: Eukaryota
Description: partial 18S ribosomal RNA
Rfam family: Eukaryotic small subunit ribosomal RNA
Source: RNAcentral
CCCUUAGAUGUUCUGGGCCGCACGCGCGCUACACUGAUGCAUUCAACGAGUCUAAAACCUGCUCUGAUAGGGGUGGGUAAUCUUUUGAAUGUGCAUCGUGAUUGGGAUAGAUGAUUGCAAUUUUUCAUCUUCAACGAGGAAUGCCUAGUAAGCGCAAGUCAUCAGCUUGCGUUGAUUACGUCCCUGCCCUUUGUACACACCGCCCGUCGCUCCUACCGAUUGAAUGGUCCGGUGAAGCGUUUGGACUAUGGUUUUCUGAUGGUCCGCCGUUGGAUUACCGUGGGAAGUUCGUUAAACCUUAUCAUUUAGAGGAAGGAGAAGUCGUAACA